ACUAAGUUCAAUUUUCGUAUCGUUUAUAUGCCUUACGGAAAACCGACCUUUUCCGGAAUCGACUUUUGUUUUAUCACCGGAAAUGAUUUUGAAAUUUGAAUUUCGAAACGAAGACAGGAUAUCAACAAAGAGAGCCAAGAAAAUUGUUUGUUACGCGAUAUAUACUCACUUGGAGCUAAAAGAAAAGCCACAAAGGACAAGUUCAAUAUGCAGGUUUACAAUUUGGAAGUGGCACAGGUUCUUUGAAAUGUCUACAACCUUUCAGGAGAAUUUUUUUUUGAAAAGCAUGGCACAGCAAGAAAAAGAUAUAAGACACUACAAGACAUUCCAAGUGAUUUUGAAUAAGACAAUUGAUUGACAUUUUCAAUGUAUUCUUAAAUAAAUCAAAUAGUUGAUGUAAAAUGGUGUUUUGUUCUCAUCUGUUCAGCCAAUUAUCAAUGAUUAUUGACUUAAAAU
Molecule: long non-coding RNA, 456 nt
Organism: Mytilus californianus (California mussel)
Lineage: Eukaryota; Metazoa; Mollusca; Bivalvia; Mytilida; Mytilidae
Exons: 3
Source: RefSeq, a predicted model, not a curated record